CAUAGAUCUGGACGGAGAAUCAGGAAAACACGAAAGUAUGACAUAAUCACGACACCAGCAGAGCGAGUAGAAAUGGCUCCUUUGAAUGAGGAGAAUGAUGAUGAAGAGGACUCCACCAUCUUUGAUGUCAAGUACAGCAGAUGUAACUCUGUGUAACGGGUGUCGUCUUCUGAAGAGGAGGAAUCGGACCAAAGCGCAGCGUGGUGAAUGCCAGCAUUAAACAGAGGAUGUUGGAUUUUGAACCCACCAUUUUCUCCAGUGGAAACACAACCCAUGGAUAUGUUACGUAAAGCUGUUCCCCGAUGUAUUCAGUGUUUGGUAACGUCUGUCAAGUCUAGUCAAGCUACCCAUCUCACCCAAUAUUUUCAGAAGAGGUAGCUCGGUUGGCUUGUUUUCUAGAAUGUAUUCUGAUUGUGAACAUGCUGUAUUUACAAUCAUUUUGUACACAUCAUACACUUCUAAUACAGACGACUCAUCUUCAGAGGGAUACUGCGCCCAGCUAGCUCAGUAAAUGCAUAUCUUCUUUAAGCUAAAACUAAAUACAUAGAGAACAUUUGAUGGCUUCUGUGUAAAGGCAAUCCUCUGGCUGUCCUCUAAUGCUUAUGGUAUAUUAUUCACUGUAAUAUUAGAUGCAUUCCUCAGAUUAUUAGUUUCAUAUGUAUGGUUUGCACACUAAAGAAUACUUAUUUACUAGUCUGGUGCAAAUAUUAUUUUAAUUGGCAACUAUUCGGCUAUUCCAAAUAUUACACUAACCACUAAAAUAUGCAUACACUGUAAAUUGUCUGAGGCUUUCUGUCCUCCGUCCCUCGAUCUGGGGACCUAGUGAAUGAUCUGCAGAGAGCUGGGACCAAAGUAACACACUACGCCUUCCAGGGACUAAAAUCCUGCAGUGUCAGACGUGUACCCCUGCUUAAGCCAGUACAUGUCCAGGCCCGUCUGAAGUUUGCUAGAGAGCAUUUGGAUGAUCCAGAAGAAGAUUUGGAGAAUGUCAUAUGGUCAGAUGAAACCAAAAUAUAACUUUUUGGUAAAA
Long non-coding RNA from Oncorhynchus gorbuscha (pink salmon), 1030 nucleotides. RefSeq lists it as uncharacterized. The record is from RefSeq and is a predicted model, not a curated record. The transcript has 3 exons. Lineage: Eukaryota; Metazoa; Chordata; Actinopteri; Salmoniformes; Salmonidae.